This 159-nucleotide unclassified non-coding RNA is filed under the name soil metagenome. RNAcentral's name for it is "partial internal transcribed spacer 1". The record is from RNAcentral.
AAGAGUUGCAAAACUCCCUUCAUACCAUCGCGAACGCUACCCGAUUCUCGUUGCUUCGGCGGGGGUCCCCUCUCCAAAACGGGAGCCCCGCCGGAGGAACGCAGCCAUAUACUCUUGUAUUUGCUGGCCUCUCUGAGUACGAUUUAUGCGAAUAAGUCA